GACGCUAAUACCGCGUAAAUCAACGAGAUCGCAUGAUUUUGUUGGAAAAGGAGAAAUCCGCUUAAGGAUGGGCCCGCGGCCUAUUAGCUAGUUGGUAGGGUAACGGCCUACCAAGGCGACGAUAGGUAGCCGACCUGAGAGGGUGAACGGCCACACUGGAACUGAGAAACGGUCCAGACUCCUACGGGAGGCAGCAGUAGGGAAUAUUCCGCAAUGGGCGAAAGCCUGACGGAGCAACGCCGCGUGAGUGAAGAAGGUUUUCGGAUCGUAAAGCUCUGUCAACAGGGACGAAACAAGACGGUACCUGAGAAGGAAGCCACGGCAAACUACGUGCCAGCAGCCGCGGUAAUACGUAGGUGGCAAGCGUUGUCCGGAAUAACUGGGCGUAAAGCGCAUGUAGACGGCAUGAUAAGCCAAAUGUGAAAUGUAGGGGCUCAACCCCUGCACUGCGAUUGGAACUGUCAAGCUUGAGUGCAGGAGAGGCAAAUGGAAUUCCCAGUGUAGCAGUGAAAUGCGUAGAGAUUGGGAGGAACACCAGUGGCGAAGGCGAUUUGCUGGACUGCAACUGACGUUGAGAUGCGAAAGCUAGGGGAGCAAACGGGAUUAGAUACCCCGGUAGUCCUAGCCGUAAACGAUGGAUACUAGGUGUAGAGGGUAUCGACCCCUUCUGUGCCGCAGCGAACGCAAUA
This 689-nucleotide ribosomal RNA is filed under the name uncultured bacterium. Its description in RNAcentral is "bacterial SSU rRNA". It matches the Rfam family "Bacterial small subunit ribosomal RNA", at positions 159 to 862 of the family's 1533-position model. The record is from RNAcentral.